RNAcentral lists this ribosomal RNA (519 nucleotides) under uncultured beta proteobacterium. Its description in RNAcentral is "bacterial SSU rRNA". It matches the Rfam family "Bacterial small subunit ribosomal RNA", at positions 8 to 524 of the family's 1533-position model. The record is from RNAcentral. Lineage: Bacteria; Pseudomonadati; Pseudomonadota; Betaproteobacteria.
AGAGUUUGAUCAUGGCUCAGAUUGAACGCUGGCGGCAUGCCUUACACAUGCAAGUCGAACGGUAACAGGUCUUCGGAUGCUGACGAGUGGCGAACGGGUGAGUAAUACAUCGGAACGUGCCCGAUCGUGGGGGAUAACGAAGCGAAAGCUUUGCUAAUACCGCAUACGAUCUACGGAUGAAAGCAGGGGACCGCAAGGCCUUGCGCGAACGGAGCGGCCGAUGGCAGAUUAGGUAGUUGGUGGGAUAAAAGCUUACCAAGCCGACGAUCUGUAGCUGGUCUGAGAGGACGACCAGCCACACUGGGACUGAGACACGGCCCAGACUCCUACGGGAGGCAGCAGUGGGGAAUUUUGGACAAUGGGCGAAAGCCUGAUCCAGCCAUGCCGCGUGCAGGAUGAAGGCCUUCGGGUUGUAAACUGCUUUUGUACGGAACGAAAAGACUCUGGUUAAUACCUGGGGUCCAUGACGGUACCGUAAGAAUAAGCACCGGCUAACUACGUGCCAGCAGCCGCGGUAAU